GUUACAUUCCAUUCAUGUGUACAGCCUCCGGCUUCCUUCACUCACACAACUUAUGCUUCAUCCAACUGUCAUGAUUAGCUGGUGUUUGAUAUUAAUCUCUCUAUCUAAAAAAAACAUAAGGUUCCUUUUCCUGCCAACACACCAUGGAGCACUGCGAGUGCAGUGGAGAACUCAACUCAAGAUCACAUGCAUGCAUCCAAGGGAGCAGUCAACUCGUAGCGGCGUUUGGAUCUGACCUCGGGGGUUGCAAAUACAGCUAGUUUAGUUUAUGGCGCUCGAGGCCGCAUCCAAGGGGCAUCUUUUGAAUAGCAUACGUCCCAAGUUCCGCCAACCCCUUCGUCUCUCUCUCUGUUUCCCGUUUGUGCCAAUUAUAUUUUUAUCGAAACAGAAGCCCACCCAUCC
RNAcentral lists this long non-coding RNA (402 nucleotides) under Hordeum vulgare. RNAcentral describes it as "long non-coding RNA (HVUL_LNC005811)". Lineage: Eukaryota; Viridiplantae; Streptophyta; Magnoliopsida; Poales; Poaceae. The record is from RNAcentral.